GGUAAGGAUAUUCAGCUCCAUUGCACACCGCAUCCUGACUAGGUAAAAGGCCUUCGAGUCCCUGGCCGAGCAGCUGCAGAACUUCAAGACACACCACUUGUUCCGGCGCUGAUGUAUGGUACUGCUAUGGAACCAACAGCAAGGGCAACAUUCGAGAAAAAAAAUUGGUGCCAAGGUAACCCAGGUUGGCGUUGUGAUUCACCCCUGUCAGCCAUGGCUUUGUGCAAGUCCCGAUGGGCUUUUCCAAACAACCAGUGGUGUCAUUUUGCGUGAAAUCAAGUGCCCCUACAGUCGUAAAGAUGACAUAAUCAUAGAUCAUGCUCUGUGCGAAAGCUACGUUAGCUAUGUGACAUAUCAUGAUGGAAUGCUUCAGUUGCCUCGCAGCCACCCAUAUUAUACACAGGUCCAGGUUGCCAUGUAUGUCACUAACACUACAGAAUGUUUCUUUUUUGUUUAUAAAGCAAGCAAGAUAUUACUAUAGUUGUUUACAGAGAUGAAGACUCCCUUGCUCGAAACAUUCCUCGGUCGGAGGCGUUUUAUUAUUCACAUUACAUUAAGCAGCUCAUGCGUUAGACCAGAUUCCUGCUUGUAGGAAGUAAGUUUGCUCUUAAAGGUACAUACAGCCGCUCAGCACAUGAAUUCAGAUAACCCUGCUUAUGGAAUGAUUCCCUAUCAUAAUGACUAAAACAAGCCAUGUUUUUCUCAUUAAAUUUGGAAAUUUAGUUUUUAAUCCAUCGCCAAAAGUUGCUAAAAAUAACCUUUCGCGCACCACGUGGCACACACAUGAAGCUGCAUAAGAGCUCUGCCACGUGACCUUCUACUAGUGUACGCGGUUACUGGUCUUUUUAUUAGUACUGAAAUGCAGUAUACUUUCUAUUAUACGUUUUUCCUGACUUACAGUUUGCAGAUAAGCCUUAGUUUAUACUGUGCAGAAAAGUAGCGCUGCCUUCAUUUUCGAUGAGUUGGCCCACUUGUGGCAUAGUUGAUGUCAUAUUGUAUCUCAUAGGGGGACCACAGAACUUAGGUUACUUGCAUGCAAAUUCGCCUGUGUACAAAAGCAUCCAUGUGUACCAUUAUGCAUGCCUUUUUACCUUGUAAUACUCACAGAUUAAAGCACCUGUGAUUUUAAGGCAGGUAAAGCACAAAUAAAAGAACAGAAAGCAGAAAGAAUGAGAAAAUACAUUGUGAUUGCCAUACAUGCCUUACCAAAACAUGUUACUGUCUCAGUCUUCCACUGUACCGACUAGCUUGGAUACAGACCCUAGGCAUGUGUAAUAUAAAGGCUGAUUUGUAAAUUAUGCUGCACUUAUUAGCAGCUCAAUUACCUACAGUAUGUAAGUAUCAAGGUUUCACCUCCGGUGAGAGUGACAAAGUGUUUUUCGAUUUCUGUGCCAAUUUAAAAUUAUAAUUGCUACAUAACACAUGUACAGCAUCCUUGUUUCUAUCAAUAUAAAUCAUGGUCUUUUCCUUUGCACCAUUUCAUGACACAUUCUUUCCACUUGUUGGCCCUUUAAGGAAGUUGCUAGUGUUAAACACUGUCGAGCUACCUGAUGGCGAAAGCUGGUUUUAGUCUGAAUCUUCCUCUGAAAUUGCCUGGCCUCCAGGAACUUGCAAGUGAACAACAAUCCUUUAUUACCACCAAUUUCUUUGCUUAUUGUUGCUUUAUAACUGCAACAUGAAAGACUGCAUCGAAAAGAUUCCGAACGUGUGCCAUGGCUUAUACAUGUCCAUUCUGUCACUGAAGGAGUUGCAGUGAUUCUUUCAGUUGUAUCUGUAAGCUUGCAGACUGUAUUUCCUUAUUGAGAGCCUUUGCUGUUGCACAGUUAAGGCUAGUUCACAGUUGCAGUGUUUAAGCCCUUUUUGAUGCCUGUAGUGAAUGUAGCCUUGAGGCCCAUCCAUUCAAGAGAUCUAUAGCAGACCAGAGGUCUGAUCACCGUCGACCUUUAAUUUUAAUUGAUGUCUCCCAUUUUUUUUGUGUAUGGUGGUUAAGAGCCACACCAUAUGUCUUUAGAUAUAUUUGCAAAUUUGUUCAGCCUAGUGCUGUCCCCUUGCUUUACAAUUUCUUAUCCAAGUUUAUAAUUUUACAGUCACAGAUAAAGCUGCUAGCUUUCCUGGUGACCUGGGCACUACUAUGUUAGCUGGCUAAAACAUCACUGCUACGAGCAGGUUCUUCAGUGUCAUACUGCGCUUAAUGUUCUAAAAAUAAAGCACAGUAAUUUGUUUCUGUAUUGUGCUUGCCUGCAAAACAGCAGUACUGUGUUUCCAAGCUAGGCACAUAAGUCUACACAUGUUUACACGAAUGGAUUGGUCCGCUUUUUAUUGUUGUCAAAAAUGAUGAAAAACAUACAUGACCGGAAUAUUUUUCAAAAUCUCUGCGGGAAAGUUGGCCUUUAAAUAUUACAAUUUUGUAAAAGAUGGUAGCAGUGCUUAUGCCAAAAAUAUGUUUGUUACUCUGUGCUUGUGUAUCACAGUGAAAAUAAAGCACCUUACUUUCUGUUGC
Molecule: long non-coding RNA, 2500 nt
Organism: Dermacentor andersoni
Lineage: Eukaryota; Metazoa; Arthropoda; Arachnida; Ixodida; Ixodidae
Source: RefSeq, a predicted model, not a curated record